This 7012-nucleotide long non-coding RNA is filed under the name Brassica napus (rape). Its description in RNAcentral is "long non-coding RNA (BNAP_LNC016090)". The stretch from base 852 to 924 matches the Rfam family "tRNA". Lineage: Eukaryota; Viridiplantae; Streptophyta; Magnoliopsida; Brassicales; Brassicaceae. The record is from RNAcentral.
UUUGUACUUGUUACUGGGAUUUGGUGUUUGAUUGUUUUUGUGGAUCAAAUGUAGAGCCGAGUUCGGAUACUCGUUUGGCGAAAGUGAAAGUGGAUUCAGACUUCACGGCACCUUGUGACACUUCUAUACUCUACCCUGCCGAUGGAGGGAAUAUGCAUUGCUUCACCGCGAAAACUGCUUGUGCGGUUCUUGAUGUUCUUGGUCCUCCAUACUCCGAUCCUGCAGGACGUCACUGUACGUACUACUUCGAUCAUCCAUUCUCAAGCUUCUCAGGUACGGUACUCUUCUGUUCUAGUUUUGAUUUGUUUCACAAGAUCUGAUUGGAGAAUUGAAUCUACAGGUGAUGGAGUUGAGGUUGGGGAGGAGGUGAAACACAAGUAUGAGUGGUUGAAGGAGAGGGAAGAGGAGCCUGAGGAUUUGACUGUUAUGGCGAUGAUGUAUAGUGGACCAAUCAUCAAAGAAUGAAUGUGUAGGAGAAAGAAAAAAAGUCUCUUUUUGUUGUUGUUUCGUUAACUUUUCUUCGUGUGGUUUUUGGGUUUCUGUUGGUUUUGUCUGUAUAUAAAAAGAAGUCUUUGAAAGUACACACAGCACAGGGACAAACCUUGAAUUUGGAUCAACGAAAAAUAGUAACGCAAGUACACGUUUGUCGGAAUGUCGUACUGUUUAGACAUCAUCAUGAUCCUUUCCUAGAAGUUGUUGAGGUGUCUAAUCAUUUUAGGCCGAAGUAAAGUAAACAAAUAGGGAUGUAGCAUGCGGGAGGUAUUCUCCAUUUUAAUGUUGAAACCAGAACGGUUAGGAUGCUUCACAAGAGAAUCUGAAUUUUGAAUGUUUUAACGCUGUCUUGAUCACAAGGGGAUGUAGCUCAGAUGGUAGAGCGCUCGCUUAGCAUGCGAGAGGUACCGGGAUCGAUAGCCCGCAUCUCCACUUUAAUGUUUUUCCAACUUUUAGUGUCACAAAAACGACCAUUAUUGUAGCGAACUCAGCCUCACCAUAAGUCUCGCCGCUACUCCUCUUAAUCACAAAGUUUUGUCUUCCAACAAAUAUAAAUAACUUAUUUUGAAAUAUGUUAAGGGUUGAAGAUGACUGACAGUUUACUGGACCCAAUAAGUAUUUGUUCUUCUUCCAGUUGUAUAAAAAUAAGUAUUGUGAAUGAUCGUUCACUGGAUCCUAUCAUCUCGUGGAGCUGGAAACGGCUACAACAUUGUCGUGGUUUGGGAGUUUUACGAAUUAAGUAAAUGUUAAUAGAAAAUGUUAACAAGUGAUUUCCUCUCGACUUAUUUACCUUUUGCUAACAGAUGUUCAAUGGAUCCAACCAUUCUUUGACUUUGAAGCAUCAUACUAAUUGGAGAAGUUACUUAUGAGUCAUGACCGAAGAAGAACAAUGAUACUACUGAGCUGGAAGUUUAGAUGGCACUAAGGGGAUAAGCAGAUGAAACUUGAAAGUCAAGUUUUCGGAGUAUUUGUUAACAACACAAACGAAUAAAACGAUGUGUCUAAGCACCAAUCCUCACGCAAAAGAGCUUUUUAAUAACUUGAGCACAACUGUGUGUUUUAGAAUGAGGUCACGUGCGGCACUGAUUAGUGGCAAAUUCUCCUGCACAUAUCCUGACCGUCCAAUAUGCAUAAAACGAAAGAAAAAAGGAAAUUCCAAACUAUAAAAAAAAGGAAAUCCCAAAGAAAAAGGAAAUUAAUCAUAAACUGACCGUUGAAAUUCAUUCAAUCACAUCUUGACCGUCUAUUUUUAAGAGUAAAAAAGGAAAUCCGAAAGAGAAAAAAAAAAGAAGAAGGAAAUUGAUCAUAUUAGGACCGUUGAAACACUCUCUAUAUAAUCAAUCAUCAUAAAGCUUAGAGCUAAUCUCAUUCGACAACAACUCAAAGUUUCCUUUUUUACUCUCUCCCUCUCUCUGUCUCUCGAUUUCUCUCCUCAGAGGUUUAGGUUCACUUCUAGUUCCGUCUUCGUGCCUGUUCAUCUUCUGUCUUAACCCAGAAAUCAAAUCUAGGGUUUUACUACCACCACCGAUAACUAAAAAGGAUGAUUAGCAAACUCUCCAGGCUGGUCGGUUUAAACAAUUUUAAAUCAGAUGAACAAUUAACCAAGCAGGAUGAGAAAAUAAAUCUAUCAAUUUAACGGUCAAACAAUUCUAGCAACAUAGCAUCAGAUUCAAUCAGAUUUAAAACCUCAAUGAUCAAAACCGAAAACAGUUUUGAUUUCAAAAUAUUCGAUUAGGGUUUUAAUAUGUGAUUUGAUAAUUAUAGUAUAAUUAAUUCUAAUACUUAUAUUAUUUAGGGUUUAUAGAUAUAGGGUUAGGGUUUAUCGAAUUUUAACUUGUAAAUUUGGGGUUUUAAUCAUGUAGGAACAUGAUUUAGGGUUUGGGGUAUCGAACUUUUAGAGCUUCGAUUUACUCAAUUAGGAUUUUUGAUUUAUUACCCUAUGGUUUUGAUUCAUAAAGAUUAGGGUUUUAGGGUUUCAUUUUUAUCAAUCAAUCCAUGUUCGAUUAUGGGUUCUUAGGUUUUGAAUUACCUUUUAACCUUAGAUGAUUGUUGAAUCGAACCACCAAAGAAGUUGAGCCUCGAGCUGGACACGAACGGGACGCGAGCUGGACACGAACGGGACGCGAGCUGGAAUGGAUCGAGUUGCUACUAUCGGGUCGCGGACGUCCUUUGUUUCUUGAUCGGGAACGCCUUGAUCGUCGGACGCGAGCUAUCUGAUGCUGUCGCGAACGAGGAAGAGAUCGCGUGCUGGAGCUGCUAUGGGGUCGCGAACGUCUGAGUUAGGAUCAUGAACGCCUUGGGCUGAAUCUAAUCGGGGACGCGAGCUGGAACAUAUGCGGGAACAAGAGACGCGAUCGGGGUUUAGGGUUCGUCGGAUCGCCGGCUAGGGUGAGGGUUUUAAGGUUUUUCGAUUUGGGUAUUAGCUUAGGGAUUUAGAGUUUCGUGCUGAUAACGUGUUAUAAAAGUAAUGGAAAAGUCUAUCUUUAUUUAUAACAUAGAGGUUUCUUAUAUAGGAGAUUACACCGUCAUAGAUAAAUGGAAAGAUUACAAAUCAUAAUCUCUUGGUUAUGAGCCAUCCACAAUCUGGUUCAUAACAAUAAUUAAUAUAUAGAAGAUAUAUAUUCUUUUUUUGGGAAAAAUACACAAAUUACUUUUUAUACCUUAAAGAAGUUUUUUUUUGUUGGAUGGUUAAAAUUGUUGUAACUACAACCAAAUAAAUUUAGUUGCUCUCAAUAUAAAUUUUUGUAAAUAUAUAUCGAUCUAUAUUUCUUCUUUUUUUGGUAUGUCUUUCCCUCCUUGAUUGUUUCAUUCGCAUAUAGUUAUACAAAAAAAAAACAAUAAUGAAGAUGUGUAACAUUUAUUUUAUAUACUAAAAAGACUCACAUUUAAACAAACUAAAAAUCCAAAUACUGAAAACCAAUGUUUUUAAAACUGGACCGGAUACCGACUCAGUAUAGCUACUGGUUGAGUGGUCGGACCGGUUCAACCGAUCAAAGCGGGUUUUCUAUUUAAAAAUAAAUAAAUCUAUAUAAUCAUAUAUUUACACUAUAUGGACCUAAAAUGUAGUUCUACAUAUAAUAUGUUCUCUUUUAUUAAUUAGAUAAUAAACAAUAAUCAUAAGUUUAGUUAUAUAUACAUUUAACAAGUGAAUACCAUAUCAACUGAAAUCGAUAUAAAAAAUGAUUGACCGUUUAAAUUACAUAUUUAUUUAUUUUUACAACUAAAAGUCUUAAAUUUUAUGAAUAUGGCAAAAUGAAAAUAAAAUAUUAGAGUCAAAAAGAGAUUUUUAAACAUUUUUUCUUUAAAAAAAUAGAAUUAAGAGAAAACCAAUUAAAUAGUAAAAGUUAAACAUUGAUUAUGAAAUAUUAAAUUUUAAUAACAAUUGAAAAUACAUUAAUUAUUUGUUGAUUUCUGUAGAACCGGGUUUUGAAGUUGAACCGAAUCACCGGUUUUUAGCUGGUUUUACCGGUUUUUCUCAAAUCUUAAACCGAACCGGACUCGGCUUUUUUAAUGAGUCACGGUCGGACUGAUUCGACCGGCCGAUCCGGUCUGGUUUUCAAAACCUUGCUGAAAACGUAUAAGUGCUCAAAAUUUUUUUUAUUCCAGUAGUGGUACAGUUAACAUCAAUUCAAGAUUGGAAAAUGAAUCUUUAGAAGUACAAGAUCUAGUCUAAGCUUCAAGUGUUGAGAUGUGGUUGUCGAUGAGUGUUUUGUUGCUGCCAGUGAUUAGCAUAUCAUCAACAUAGACUAGGACAUACAAGAGAGUAGUGACUGUCGAUUUGACUGAAGAGUAAUGUGUCUGCAACAGAGUUAGUUGACAAAACCAAGAGUGGGCAAAUAAUUUUGCAGUUCUUGGUACCAUGCCCUUGGCACUUAACGAAGACCAUAGAGAGCUUUCUUUAGGCGACUUACAUAUGUCAGACGAUCUUUGUCGGCAAAUACUAUAGGUUGCUUGACAUAUACUUCAUCAGCUAGUCGACCCUGUAGGAAGGCAUUAUUAACAUCAAUUUUCUCAUGUCAUUGUUGACAGCCAGAUGUAAGACUGAAUGGACUGAAGUUGCCUUUAUAACAUGUCUGAACGUGUCAGUAAAGUUCCUGCCUUGUUGUUUAUGGAAGGACAAGCCACCAAUCUUGCUUUGUACCUAGCAAGAGAAUCAUCAUGAUUGUAUUUUAGAGUAAAAAUCCCACUUACACCCAACAACAUUUUGAUAAGGAUCCGGCGGUACAUUUUCAUCUGGGCCAUUGCAAAUCUGAGCAUUAAUCUCCUCUACCAUAGCAAUGCGGCAGUUAAGAUCCUUCGGAGCAUCAGCGACUGUCUUUGGUAUUGUGGGUUUGCUCUUUGCGGUGGUGUAGGAGAAUUUUUGUGUUGGUUUUGUGAUGUUGUUUUUGGCUAUUGUGCGCAUAGGGUAGUUAUAUGGAGGUGGGUUUACUGUUGGCUGAGAGGGUAUGGGAGGUGGGUUUGGUUGAGGUGGAGUAGGAGUAGGAGGUAGAGGAGUUAUUGGAGUGAGAGUAGGCGCUAAGGUUGUUGAAGUAGUUGUUGUGGUGGAGUGUUGUUGUUGUUGCUGCAAUACCAUAGCCGGUUGUUGUUUUUGUUGCAAUACCAUAAACCUUAUGCGGGUCCUGUUGUGAGAACAAAAACGAGUGAACGAGUCGGUACAAUUUUAGUAGGGUGGAAGACUUGAGUCGAUUCUGGUUGAUCACUGUGAGACAUCGGUGUGGGUAUUCUGGCUUUGGAAGGGAACACGCUUUCAUCAAAGAUAACAUGGCGUGAGGUGUAUAGAUGACUAGUAGACCUCUCAAAACAUGUAUGCACUCUAAGAUAAAGAGUACCCCACCAACAUAUGCCGCUGAACGUGGAUUCAACUAAUGAGACCCAUAAAACCGAAAUCAUUUUCCUAUAAUAAUAAAUUAAUAAUAUUCUUACAGAUAAAAAAUGUUGUUUUAAAAAGUAAAGAAUUUACAGUCAUUUUUUUAUUUUUUUGCUGUAGAUUUGAAAUAUAAUUUCGACAGUCCAACCAAUCAAUCCCGUGUUUUUGAGGAUUCAUGGUUUUAAAUUAAUACGUACCAUCAAUUUUUAUUGGUUAUAGCCGUUUUCUGGUUUUUUUUUUUAAAUUAUGUUUUAGAUCUAAUCAGUUUUGGCUUAGUAAACGAGUUUAUGGUGGGAAUGGUUUUCAGAACUGGUAAUUUCCUAUGUUUGAAGUUAAUAAACCAGUGUUGAAUAAUGAAUGAAAAGUAGAUAUUGAAAACAAAAAAAAAGAAAAAAAGAGGGAAAAGAAAAACAAAAAGGGUGUAAAAAAUGAUAUAGUGAGAAAACAAACCCGCCGUUGGAAACAAACCCGCCCAUAGAAAAGGAACUUAUUUGGACUGAUGAAAAGGAAUAGCCCAUGGUUUCGCUCCACUCCUCCUUCGAAUCUCUCUCUCUCUAUCUAUCUUCUUCCACAAAUCCACUUUUAUCGAAUCCUUUUCCCCUUUUAAAACACAUUUCCUUUUUUUCUCACCGUCUCCUCGUUUAUACCAAACACUGUUCUUUAUCUUCUUGUCCGAAUCAUAACCAUAAAACCCAGAUUGAAUGGGAGCUGGUACAGUUGUGAGAGAUCGAGUACGGAAAGAUCUCUCUGAGAUUUCCAACAAAACGAAUAUUCCGGCGACGAAACCCAUCGUUUCUUCCUCUCCGGAGAUUCGUUCGAACUCACGGAAGAAGAUCCAACGGCGGAGCAAGAAAGCUGUGAUCUCUCCGGUGCAGAAGCUCUUCGAAACUUGCAAGAAAGUAUUCGCUAAUGGCAAAUCCGGAGCCGUCCCGUCCCAAGAACACAUUAACAUGCUUCGAGCCGUUCUGGGUAAGUUCCAUAAACCCUUUUAGUAAAGUUUGAAACUUUGGAACAUGAGUUGUGUCUGAAUCUAUAUGUUUUUUUUGUCUGUUGCAUUAGACGAAAUCAAGCCUGAAGAUGUUGAUGUGAGCCCUAAGAUGCCGUGUUUUCGAUCUAAAUCGAACGGACGGCCUCCAGUGACGUAUCUCCACAUCUACAAAUGUCAUAGCUUCUCGGUACUAAUCUUUGUUUUACUUCAAAGAAUCUUUAAUUCUUGUUAAUUUUUUUUAUAUUCUAAAGUUUUGUGUUUUGUGUAUGUAAUAACAAGAUGGGCAUUUUCUGUUUACCACCGUCUGGUGUAAUCCCACUUCACAAUCACCCGGAGAUGACUGUGUUUAGUAAGCUCUUGUUUGGUACAAUGCACAUCAAAUCCUAUGAUUGGGUCGCUGAUUCUCCCCGUAAGUUAUCAAAACCAAAAACAUUUGUACUUGUUACUGGGAUUUGGUGUUUGAUUGUUUUUGUGGAUCAAAUGUAGAGCCGAGUUCGGAUACUCGUUUGGCGAAAGUGAAAGUGGAUUCAGACUUCACGGCACCUUGUGACACUUCUAUACUCUACCCUGCCGAUGGAGGGAAUAUGCAUUGCUUCACCGCGAAAACUGCUUGUGCGGUUCUUGAUGUUCUUGGUCCUCCAUACUCCGAUCCUGCAGGACGUCAC